RNAcentral lists this ribosomal RNA (671 nucleotides) under uncultured bacterium. RNAcentral describes it as "bacterial SSU rRNA". It matches the Rfam family "Bacterial small subunit ribosomal RNA", at positions 62 to 745 of the family's 1533-position model. The record is from RNAcentral.
UCGACGGUUAAAGCAUCUUCGGAUGUGUAUAAAGUGGCGAACGGCUGAGUAACACGUGGGCAACCUGCCCUUUGCACUGGGAUAGCCUCGGGAAACCGAGGUUAAUACCGGAUACUCCAUAUUUGUCGCAUGGCGAAUAUGGGAAAGCUCCGGCGGCAAAGGAUGGGCCCGCGGCCUGUUAGCUAGUUGGUGGGGUAGUGGCCUACCAAGGCAAUGAUGGGUAGCCGGGUUGAGAGACCGACCGGCCAGAUUGGGACUGAGACACGGCCCAGACUCCUACGGGAGGCAGCAGUGGGGAAUCUUGCACAAUGGGCGAAAGCCUGAUGCAGCGACGCCGCGUGCGGGAUGAAGGCCUUCGGGUUGUAAACCGCUUUCAGCAGGGACGAGGCCGCAAGGUGACGGUACCUGCAGAAGAAGCCCCGGCUAACUACGUGCCAGCAGCCGCGGUAAUACGUAGGGGGCAAGCGUUAUCCGGAUUCAUUGGGCGUAAAGCGCGCGUAGGCGGUCUGUUAGGUCAGGAGUUAAAUCUGGGGGCUCAACCCCUAUCCGCUCCUGAUACCGGCAGGCUUGAGUCUGGUAGGGGAAGAUGGAAUUCCAAGUGUAGCGGUGAAAUGCGCAGAUAUUUGGAAGAACACCGGUGGCGAAGGCGGUCUUCUGGGCCAUGACNNNNG